RNAcentral lists this ribosomal RNA (1034 nucleotides) under Salmonella enterica. RNAcentral's name for it is "partial 23S ribosomal RNA". It matches the Rfam family "Bacterial large subunit ribosomal RNA", at positions 711 to 1658 of the family's 2925-position model. RNAcentral also lists the same sequence under 2 other names. The record is from RNAcentral. Lineage: Bacteria; Pseudomonadati; Pseudomonadota; Gammaproteobacteria; Enterobacterales; Enterobacteriaceae.
AGACCCGAAACCCGGUGAUCUAGCCAUGGGCAGGUUGAAGGUUGGGUAACACUAACUGGAGGACCGAACCGACUAAUGUUGAAAAAUUAGCGGAUGACCUGUGGCUGGGGGUGAAAGGCCAAUCAAACCGGGAGAUAGCUGGUUCUCCCCGAAAGCUAUUUAGGUAGCGCCUCGUGAAUUCAUCUCCGGGGGUAGAGCACUGUUUCGGCUAGGGGGCCAUCCCGGCUUACCAACCCGAUGCAAACUGCGAAUACCGGAGAAUGUUAUCACGGGAGACACACGGCGGGUGCUAACGUCCGUCGUGAAGAGGGAAACAACCCAGACCGCCAGCUAAGGUCCCAAAGUCAUGGUUAAGUGGGAAACGAUGUGGGAAGGCCCAGACAGCCAGGAUGUUGGCUUAGAAGCAGCCAUCAUUUAAAGAAAGCGUAAUAGCUCACUGGUCGAGUCGGCCUGCGCGGAAGAUGUAACGGGGCUAAACCAUGCACCGAAGCUGCGGCAGCGAACGUAUCACCCAAGACAACUUUACGGAGUUGACGAUUGACGGAGCGAAGCGACGUCAAAGCGUUCAUUAAAGUCGAGUUGGCUUAGGGAUACGUUCGUUGGGUAGGGGAGCGUUCUGUAAGCCUGUGAAGGUGUGUCGUGAGGCAUGCUGGAGGUAUCAGAAGUGCGAAUGCUGACAUAAGUAACGAUAAAGCGGGUGAAAAGCCCGCUCGCCGGAAGACCAAGGGUUCCUGUCCAACGUUAAUCGGGGCAGGGUGAGUCGACCCCUAAGGCGAGGCCGAAAGGCGUAGUCGAUGGGAAACGGGUUAAUAUUCCCGUACUUGGUGUUACUGCGAAGGGGGGACGGAGAAGGCUAUGUUGGCCGGGCGACGGUUGUCCCGGUUUAAGCGUGUAGGUGUGUGUUCCAGGUAAAUCCGGUUCACUUUAACACUGAGGCGUGACGACGAGGCACUACGGUGCUGAAGCAACAAAUGCCCUGCUUCCAGGAAAAGCCUCUAAGCAUCAGGUAACACGAAAUCGUACCCCAAACCGAC